CACUGAUGAGGGAUGAGCUCUAACACGGUGCCAGCCUUGUCCCUCUGCUGCCUCGCAUUUAGUGCCUGCAGCCCUGAAAAAGCCACAGAAGAAUCCUGCACAAUUAGGUUACAAAUACUACCAACAUCUCCUCCCAGCUCUGGGCUUUCUGAUCCAGCAUCCCCUCACCACUGGAAGAUCAGUUGCCUGAUUUGGGUUGUUACUUGAACACACGAUUGCAGCUGCUGCCAUCAGGAAGAGGAUGGGAUUGUGCACAAGAAGCAGAGAAGCCUGUUUUAAAAUAAAAGCUGUUGUGACUGGAAUAUUUUCUUCUUGUGUUGCAAGAUAACAUUUGUAAGAAUUAUAGAUGUCCCACUAAGAAUUAUUCAUAGGGACCACCUGCAGUGUUGGUAUUGUUUCAUCUUUGUUCAGCAUUUUUAGAGCAAUUUUUAACCAUCUAUUCCUUUUCCUGCCAAGUUAUGUU
Molecule: long non-coding RNA, 463 nt
Organism: Calypte anna (Anna's hummingbird)
Lineage: Eukaryota; Metazoa; Chordata; Aves; Apodiformes; Trochilidae
Exons: 4
Source: RefSeq, a predicted model, not a curated record